RNAcentral lists this ribosomal RNA (1500 nucleotides) under metagenome. RNAcentral describes it as "bacterial SSU rRNA". It matches the Rfam family "Bacterial small subunit ribosomal RNA". The record is from RNAcentral.
AGAGUUUGAUCAUGGCUCAGAUUGAACGCUGGCGGCAGGCCUAACACAUGCAAGUCGAACGGUAACAGGAAGCAGCUUGCUGCUUCGCUGACGAGUGGCGGACGGGUGAGUAAUGUCUGGGAAGCUGCCUGAUGGAGGGGGAUAACUACUGGAAACGGUAGCUAAUACCGCAUAAUGUCGCAAGACCAAAGAGGGGGACCUUCGGGCCUCUUGCCAUCGGAUGUGCCCAGAUGGGAUUAGCUUGUUGGUGGGGUAACGGCUCACCAAGGCGACGAUCCCUAGCUGGUCUGAGAGGAUGACCAGCCACACUGGAACUGAGACACGGUCCAGACUCCUACGGGAGGCAGCAGCGGGGAAUAUUGCACAAUGGGCGCAAGCCUGAUGCAGCCAUGCCGCGUGUAUGAAGAAGGCCUUCGGGUUGUAAAGUACUUUCAGCGGGGAGGAAGGGAGUAAAGUUAAUACCUUUGCUCAUUGACGUCACCCGCAGAAGAAGCACCGGCUAACUCCGUGCCAGCAGCCGCGGUAAUACGGAGGGUGCAAGCGUUAAUCGGAAUUACUGGGCGUAAAGCGCACGCAGGCGGUUUGUUAAGUCAGAUGUGAAAUCCCCGGGCUCAACCUGGGAACUGCAUCUGAUACUGGCAAGCUUGAGUCUCGUAGAGGGGGGUAGAAUUCCAGGUGUAGCGGUGAAAUGCGUAGAGAUCUGGAGGAAUACCGGUGGCGAAGGCGGCCCCCUGGACGAAGACUGACGCUCAGGUGCGAAAGCGUGGGGAGCAAACAGGAUUAGAUACCCUGGUAGUCCACGCCGUAAACGAUGUCGACUUGGAGGUUGUGCCCUUGAGGCGUGGCUUCCGGAGCUAACGCGUUAAGUCGACCGCCUGGGGAGUACGGCCGCAAGGUUAAAACUCAAAUGAAUUGACGGGGGCCCGCACAAGCGGUGGAGCAUGUGGUUUAAUUCGAUGCAACGCGAAGAACCUUACCUGGUCUUGACAUCCACGGAAGUUUUCAGAGAUGAGAAUGUGCCUUCGGGAACCGUGAGACAGGUGCUGCAUGGCUGUCGUCAGCUCGUGUUGUGAAAUGUUGGGUUAAGUCCCGCAACGAGCGCAACCCUUAUCCUUUGUUGCCAGCGGUCCGGCCGGGAACUCAAAGGAGACUGCCAGUGAUAAACUGGAGGAAGGUGGGGAUGACGUCAAGUCAUCAUGGCCCUUACGACCAGGGCUACACACGUGCUACAAUGGCGCAUACAAAGAGAAGCGACCUCGCGAGAGCAAGCGGACCUCAUAAAGUGCGUCGUAGUCCGGAUUGGAGUCUGCAACUCGACUCCAUGAAGUCGGAAUCGCUAGUAAUCGUGGAUCAGAAUGCCACGGUGAAUACGUUCCCGGGCCUUGUACACACCGCCCGUCACACCAUGGGAGUGGGUUGCAAAAGAAGUAGGUAGCUUAACCUUCGGGAGGGCGCUUACCACUUUGUGAUUCAUGACUGGGGUGAAGUCGAAACAAGGUA